UCAGUUUAUAAUUUCUUAUAAAUAUAAAUCAAGCUAGAGCAUUAAUAGCUUCUCAUAUCAGAUUAUAUUGUUCUAGUAUGAUUUUCAAAUGAAAAAAAUAUGGAAUCCAUGAAUUACCUUUUUCAAUGAUUUGGAGUGCUUACAGUUAAAGAACCACACUCAACAAUGAUUUUGUUCUGCAUAAACACAAAAAAAAAAGAACAAAACUUAGUUGCACAAAUGAACCAAUUAACCUUCUUAGAUUUAACUACUAUAAUGACAGCAAAAGAACCAUGAAGAGAGCGGAAAAUAUGUUA
This is a non-coding RNA of Arachis ipaensis, 296 nucleotides long. Lineage: Eukaryota; Viridiplantae; Streptophyta; Magnoliopsida; Fabales; Fabaceae. The record is from RefSeq and is a predicted model, not a curated record.